GAUGAAGAACGUAGCGAAAUGCGAUACUUGGUGUGAAUUGCAGAAUCCCGUGAACCAUCGAGUCUUUGAACGCAAGUUGCGCCUCAAGCCAUUAGGUUGAGGGCACGUCUGCCUGGGCGUCACAUAUCGUUGCCUGAUGCCAGUUUCCUCGUGAUGGGUGACUGUGCAGGGCGAAUGAUGGCUUCCCGUGAGCAUUGUUGCCUCAUGGUUGGUUGAAAAUUGAGUCCUUGGUAGGGAGCGCCGUGAUAGAUGGUGGUUGAGUGACGAACGAGACCCAAUCAUGUGAGACCCCUACCGAAUUGGGCCUUCAUGACCCACAUGCGUCUUUGGAACGCUCAUGACGAGACCUCAGGUCAGGCGGGGCUACCCGCUGAGUUUAAGCAUAUCAAUAAGCGGAGGA
Molecule: unclassified non-coding RNA, 400 nt
Filed under: soil metagenome
Description: partial contains 5.8S ribosomal RNA, internal transcribed spacer 2, and large subunit ribosomal RNA
Rfam family: 5.8S ribosomal RNA (bases 1-122)
Source: RNAcentral